RNAcentral lists this antisense RNA (69 nucleotides) under Labedaea rhizosphaerae. RNAcentral's name for it is "Labedella sp. RS-49 ASpks TB sRNA". It matches the Rfam family "ASpks TB sRNA". Lineage: Bacteria; Bacillati; Actinomycetota; Actinomycetes; Pseudonocardiales; Pseudonocardiaceae. The record is from Rfam by way of RNAcentral.
CUUCACCGAGCCCAGCCACAGUGGCCGCUCGCGGCCCUGGCCGUAGGUCGCGAGCAACGCCUGCGCCUC